UACGGGGGGGGCAAGCGUUGUUCGGAAUUACUGGGCGUAAAGGGCUCGUAGGCGGCCAACUAAGUCGGAUGUGAAAUCCCCAGGCUUAACCUGGGAACUGCAUCCGAUACUGGAUGGCUUGAAUCCGGGAGAGGGAUGCGGAAUUCCAGGUGUAGCGGUGAAAUGCGUAGAUAUCUGGAGGAACACCGGUGGCGAAGGCGGCAUCCUGGACCGGCAUUGACGCUGAGGAGCGAAAGCCAGGGGAGCAAACGGG
This 253-nucleotide ribosomal RNA is filed under the name uncultured bacterium. RNAcentral's name for it is "partial 16S ribosomal RNA". It matches the Rfam family "Bacterial small subunit ribosomal RNA", at positions 524 to 776 of the family's 1533-position model. The record is from RNAcentral.